GAUGAACGCUGGCGGCGUGCUUAACACAUGCAAGUCGAACGAAGCACUUUAACUUGAUUUCUUCGGAAUGAUUGUUCUUGUGACUGAGUGGCGGACGGGUGAGUAACGCGUGGGUAACCUGCCUCAUACAGGGGGAUAACAGUUAGAAAUGACUGCUAAUACCGCAUAAGCGCACAGUACCGCAUGGUAUGGUGUGAAAAACUCCGGUGGUAUGAGAUGGACCCGCGUCUGAUUAGCUAGUUGGCGGGGUAACGGCCCACCAAGGCGACGAUCAGUAGCCGGACUGAGAGGUUGAUCGGCCACAUUGGGACUGAGAUACGGCCCAGACUCCUACGGGAGGCAGCAGUGGGGAAUAUUGGGCAAUGGACGCAAGUCUGACCCAGCAACGCCGCGUGAAGGAAGAAGGCUUUCGGGUUGUAAACUUCUUUUAAGAGGGAAGAGUAGAAGACGGUACCUCUUGAAUAAGCCACGGCUAACUACGUG
Molecule: ribosomal RNA, 483 nt
Filed under: uncultured bacterium
Lineage: Bacteria
Description: bacterial SSU rRNA
Rfam family: Bacterial small subunit ribosomal RNA
Source: RNAcentral